UCAGAAACUACAAAGGAAUUGACGGGGACCCGCACAAGCAGCGGAGCAUGUGGUUUAAUUCGAAGCAACGCGAAGAACCUUACCAGAUCUUGACAUCCAAUUGACCAUCUUUUAAUCGAGAUUUUGCCUUCGGGUACAAUUGAGACAGGUGGUGCAUGGUUGUCGUCAGCUCGUGCCGUGAGGUGUCGGGUUAAGUCCCAUAACGAGCGCAACCCCUACCUUUAGUUGCCAUCAGGUAAUGCUGGGGACUCUAAAGGAACUGCCUACGCAAGUAGUGAGGAAGGUGGGGAUGACGUCAAAUCAGCACGGCCCUUACGUCCAGGGCUACACACGUGCUACAAUGGCCGGUACAAAGGGCAGCUACCUGGUGACGGGAUGCUAAUCUCAAAAGCCGGUCUCAGUUCGGAUCGGAGUCUGCAACCCGACUCCGUGAAGCUGGAAUCGCUAGUAAUCGUGGAUCAGCCAAGCCGCGGUGAAUACGUUCCCGGGCCUU
RNAcentral lists this ribosomal RNA (493 nucleotides) under uncultured Sphingobacteriales bacterium. Its description in RNAcentral is "bacterial SSU rRNA". It matches the Rfam family "Bacterial small subunit ribosomal RNA", at positions 903 to 1382 of the family's 1533-position model. Lineage: Bacteria; Pseudomonadati; Bacteroidota; Sphingobacteriia; Sphingobacteriales. The record is from RNAcentral.